RNAcentral lists this ribosomal RNA (477 nucleotides) under uncultured bacterium. RNAcentral describes it as "partial 16S ribosomal RNA". It matches the Rfam family "Bacterial small subunit ribosomal RNA", at positions 28 to 507 of the family's 1533-position model. The record is from RNAcentral.
GAUUAACGCUGGCGGCGUGCAUAACACAUGCGAGUCGAACGAUGGAACUUAGUAGACUUCUUCGGAAAGACACUAAGCGGAUUAGUGGCGAACGGGUGAGUAACGCGUGAGUAACCUGCCUUACACAAGGGGAUAGCCUUUGGAAACGAAGAAUAAUACCCUAUAAAACCAUAAAAGCACAUGCUAGAAUGGUCAAAGUGAUAGCGGUGUAAGAUGGACUUGCGUCUGAUUAGCUAGUUGGUGAGAUAAAAGCUCACCAAGGCAACGAUCAGUAGCCGGCUUGAGAGAGUGGACGGCCACAUUGGGACUGAGACACGGCCCAGACUCCUACGGGAGGCAGCAGUGGGGAAUUUUGCACAAUGGGGGAAACCCUGAUGCAGCGACGCCGCGUGAUUUAGAAGGCCUUCGGGUUGUAAAAAUCUUUUGUAUAGGAAGAAAAUGACAGUACUAUACGAAUAAGGUCCGGCUAAUUACGUG